This 690-nucleotide ribosomal RNA is filed under the name uncultured Bacillota bacterium. RNAcentral describes it as "bacterial SSU rRNA". It matches the Rfam family "Bacterial small subunit ribosomal RNA", at positions 58 to 737 of the family's 1533-position model. Lineage: Bacteria; Bacillati; Bacillota. The record is from RNAcentral.
CAAGUCGAGUGCGCAGUCUGCUGUAGCAAUACAGCAGAUCGGCGCACGGCGCACGGGUGCGUAACACGUUGGGUAACCUGCCCUCCAAAGGGGGAUAACCCGCCGAAAGGCGGGCUAAUACCGCAUGACAUUCCGGUGGCUUCGGCCGCCGGAAUCAAAGCCCGCAAGGGCGUUGGAGGAGGGGCCCGCGGCCGAUUAGCUUGUUGGCGAGGUAACGGCUCACCAAGGCUUUGAUCGGUAGCCGGUCUGAGAGGAUGGCCGGCCACACUGGAACUGAGACACGGUCCAGACUCCUACGGGAGGCAGCAGUGGGGAAUCUUGCGCAAUGGGCGAAAGCCUGACGCAGCGACGCCGCGUGGGGGAUGAAGCUUCUCGGAGUGUAAACCCCUUUCGACCCGGACGAAACACCCGCAAGGGUUUGACGGUACGGGUAUAAGAAGCCCCGGCUAACUACGUGCCAGCAGCCGCGGUAAGACGUAGGGGGCCAGCGUUGCUCGGAAUUACUGGGCGUAAAGGGUUCGUAUGCGGUGUGGUAAGUCGGAAGUGAAAUCUCUGGGCUUAACUCAGAGGCUGCUUUCGAAACUGCCGCGCUAGAGUGCGGGAGAGGCGAGUGGAAUUACAGGUGUAGCUGGUGAAAUGCGUUAGAUAUCUGUAGGAACACUCGUGGCGAAAGGCGGCUCGCUGGACCGC